RNAcentral lists this ribosomal RNA (950 nucleotides) under uncultured archaeon. RNAcentral's name for it is "partial 16S rRNA". It matches the Rfam family "Archaeal small subunit ribosomal RNA", at positions 1 to 937 of the family's 1478-position model. The record is from RNAcentral.
UUCCGGUUGAUCCCGCCGGACCCGACUGCUAUUUGGGUGAGAAUAAGCCAUGCGAGUUGAAUGGGAUACCUAAAUUUCCCAUAGCAAACUGCUCAGUAACACAUGAUCAACUUACCCUAUAGAGAAAAAUAACCUCGGGAAACUGAGGAUAAUGUUUCAUAAUUGAAUUGGCUUGGAAGAGUUUUUCAAUGAAAAGGAUAAAAAAAAUGGUUUUUAUCUGCUAUAGGAUAGGAUCGUGUUCGAUUAUGGUUGUUGGUGAGAUAAUGGCUCACCAAGCCGAUAAUCGAUAGGGGCCGUGAGAGCGGGAGCCCCGAGAUGGGUACUGAGACAACGACCCAGGCCUUACGAGGCGCAGCAGGCGCGGAACCUCCGCAAUACACGAAAGUGUGACGGGGUUACCCAAAGUGUUCAAUAGAACUGUGGUAGGUGAGUAAUGUCCCCUACUAGAAAGGAGAGGGCAAGGCUGGUGCCAGCCGCCGCGGUAAAACCAGCUCUUCAAGUGGUCGGGAUAAUUAUUGGGCUUAAAGUGUCCGUAGCCGGUUUAGUAAGUUCCUGGUAAAAUCGGGUAGCUUAACUAUCUGCAUGCUAGGAAUACUGCUAUACUAGAGGGCGGGAGAGGUCUGAGGUACUACAGGGGUAGGGGUGAAAUCUUAUAAUCCUUGUAGGACCACCAGUGGCGAAGGCGUCAGACUGGAACGCGCCUGACGGUGAGGGACGAAAGCCAGGGGAGCGAACCGGAUUAGAUACCCGGGUAGUCCUGGCCGUAAACGAUGCAUACUAGGUGAUGGUACGGCCAUGAGCCGUAUCAGUGCCGUAGGGAAACCGUUGAGUGUGCCGCCUGGGAAGUACGGUCGCAAGGCUAAAACUUAAAGGAAUUGGCGGGGGAGCACCACAAGGGGUGAAGCCUGCGGGUUCAAUUGGGAUUCAACGCCGGGAAUCACUAGUGCGGC